AUAGCUACUGUGAGUGUGAAAGAAAUCUUCUAGCUUUUGUUUUUAUAAAAUCAGUAAGAUCACUUUAACACUCAUAGUACAUA
Ciona intestinalis (vase tunicate) is the source of this 83-nucleotide microRNA precursor. Lineage: Eukaryota; Metazoa; Chordata; Ascidiacea; Phlebobranchia; Cionidae. The record is from Ensembl.